GGAUCCGUGGUGUAGUGGUUAUCACGUUUGCUUUACAUCAUGAGUGAUGCGCGCAAAAGGUCGUCAGUUCGAGCCUGGCUGGAUUCA
This is a non-coding RNA of Mycena albidolilacea, 87 nucleotides long. The record is from the annotation of a GenBank genome assembly. NCBI's taxonomy places the organism in Eukaryota, Fungi, Basidiomycota, Agaricomycetes, Agaricales, Mycenaceae.